Molecule: RNA transcript, 3145 nt
Organism: Pyrus x bretschneideri (Chinese white pear)
Lineage: Eukaryota; Viridiplantae; Streptophyta; Magnoliopsida; Rosales; Rosaceae
Gene name: exocyst complex component SEC15B-like
Exons: 3
Source: RefSeq, a predicted model, not a curated record
CCUUGACCUUCAUACGUAUAUUUCCCUCGUUCCCGGUGGUAUUUCCGUCAAACAACAAAAAAAAUCCCCAAAUGUCCAUGUAACGACCCCGUCUCUCUUUCUCUCUCUUCCAUUUUUCCUAAAUCCUCUCCGCGCCCUGUUCUCUCUCAUCGCCACGAUGCUGCCCACGAAGUCUCGGCGGAAAGUGGCUCCGUCCGCCGCGGAAAACGGCGACUCGGCUGAAAAGCUCGACCAGCUGCUCCUCUCCUCCGCCAUCUGCAACGGCGAGGAUGUGGGACCAUUCGUCCGCAAGGCCUUCACUUCCGGGAAGCCCGAGACGCUGCUCCAGCACCUCCGCCACUUCUCCCGAUCCAAGGAGUCCGAAAUCGAGGAGGUCUGCAAGGCCCACUACCAAGACUUCAUCCUCGCUGUCGACGACCUUCGAUCUCUCCUCUCCGACGUCGAUUCUCUCAAGUCUUCCCUCUCCGAUUCCAACGCCAAGCUCCAGUCCGUCGGCCUCCCUCUUCUCUCCUCCCUCGACGCCUUCGUCGAAGCCCGAAACGUAUCCCGAAACGUCAACCUCGCGCUUGAAUCUGUCCGGAAUUGUAUUCGUUUGAUGGAGCUCUGCUCCCGAUCGAAUCACCAUAUCUCCAGCAGCAACUUCUACAUGGCGCUCAAGUGCGUCGACACAAUCGAGUCCGAGUUCCUGGACAAAACGCCGUCGUCUACGCUCAAGCGGAUGCUGGAGAAGAAGAUUCCAGAGAUUCGGUGGCACAUCGAACGGAAGGUCAGUAAGGAGUUCGGCGAUUGGCUGGUGGAGAUCCGCGUGGUGAGUCGGAACCUCGGUCAAUUGGCGAUUGGUCAAGCUUCGUCGGCGAGGCAGCGGGAAGAGGAUCUGAGAAUCAAGCAGCGGCAAGCUGAGGAGCAGAGCCGCCUUAGCCUCAGAGACACUGUUUACGCUUUGGAGGAGGACGAUGACGACGGACUCGGCGGCGGUGGGGUUGGAGAUGAUAGUUAUAAUGGCGGAGGUGGAUUUGAUUUGACUCCCUUGUACAGAGCCUAUCAUAUAAACCAGACUCUGGGGCUUGAAGAGCGAUUCAAGCAAUAUUACUUCGAGAAUCGAAAGCUUCAGCUCACCUCUGACUUUCAGGUAUCUUCCAUGACUCCGUUUCUUGAAUCGCAUCAAACUUUCUUUGCGCAAAUCGCCGGAUUUUUCAUCGUGGAGGAUCGAAUUGUGAGGACUAGUGGCGGUUUGAUUUCGAAAUUAGAGGUUGAUAAUUUGUGGGAAACUGCUGUGAGUAAAAUGUGUUCUGUUUUAGAGGAUCAGUUUUCUAGGAUGCAAACUGCUAACCACUUGCUGUUGAUUAAGGACUAUGUGAGCUUGUUAGGUGUGACAUUGCGUCGGUAUGGAUAUUUGGUUGACCCGUUGCUUGAUGUUCUGAGCAAACAUAGGGAUAAGUACCAUGAGCUGUUGUUGUCAGAUUGUCGUAAACAGAUUGCUGAAGCUCUUUCCGCUGAUAAAUUCGAUCAGAUGUUGAUGAAGAAAGAAUAUGAGUAUUCCAUGAAUGUUCUUUCGUUUCAGAUACAGACGUCUGAUAUCAUACCGGCUUUUCCAUAUGUUGCACCAUUUAGUUCGACAGUGCCUGAUUGUUGCCGCAUUGUUAGGUCUUUUAUUGAGGAUUCUGUGAGUUUCAUGUCGUAUGGCGGUCAGCUUGAUUUCUUUGUUGUUGUGAAGAAGUAUUUGGAUAGGUUGUUGAGUGAGGAUUUGGAUGGGGCUCUUUUGAAGCUUAUCAGUACAUCUAUCCAUGGGGUCUCCCAGGCAAUGCAAGUAGCCGCUAAUAUGGCUGUCAUGGAGCGAGCUUGUGAUUUCUUCUUCCGACAUGCUGCUCAGCUUUCUGGAGUGCCCUUGAGAAUGGUAGAGAGGGGGCGGAGGCAGUUUCCGCUAUGCAAAGCCCGUGAUGCAGCAGAAGACACGCUCUCUGGGUUGCUUAAACAAAAAGUGGAUGGGUUCUUGACGUUGAUUGAGAAUGUGAACUGGAUGGCCGAUGAGCCUUGGCCGAAUGGGAAUGAAUAUGUGAAUGAGGUGAUCAUUUAUUUGGAAACUCUGGUUUCCACUGCUCAGCAAAUAUUGCCUCCUCAGGUUCUCAAACGAGUUUUGCAAGAUGUCCUUUCUCACAUAUCGGAGAAGAUAAUAGGGGCUUUACUUGGGGACACAGUUAAGAGGUUUACCAUACAUGCAAUUAUGAGCAUUGAUGUGGAUAUUCGAUUGCUGGAAUCUUUUGCAGAUAAUCAAGCUCCUCUACUCUCAGACGAGGAAGCAAAUCAGUUGAAAACAGCACUUGCUGAGUCGAGGCAAUUAGUUAACUUACUCUUAAGCAAUCAUCCAGAGAAUUUUCUUAAUCCAGUAAUCAGGGAGAGGAGUUACAAUACCUUGGACUACAGAAAAGUAGUGCUUAUUUCAGAAAAGUUGAGGGAUCCUUCAGAGCGGCGAUUUGGAACCUUUGGUAGCCGGGGAAGCAGGCAGAACCCCCAGAAGAAAUCUCUAGAUGCAUUGAUUAAAAGACUCAAGGAUGUGAGUUGAUUUUGUUAUAUAGUUAUGGCAUAAUUUCUCAAAGGAUGAGUGCUUUGAGAGGUUAGAAGAUCCAGCAACAGCGGUGACUUUUGUCACGGGAAAAAUUAUAAAUCGCUGCCAUCUAUGUUUCCUUUUGUUUUUCGGUUACAAGGAUUUGGUAGAUUCUCACUCUCGCAUGAGAGUGAUCGAUAACAAUCGAGUUCUUGAAUGAGGAGUUGUAUGGUUCUACCGUGUUGAAUGUGUUCAUUAGUGCCGUUCUUCGCUUGAUCCCGAAUCUUUUGAUCGUCUGAAGAGUCGACGGCGUUGCGCCACUGGGAUUUUGUGAACAAAACCGGAGUACUUGGAGGAUACACUGAUGCUCAGACGAGCCCAUUUUACAUCCUUGAGGCCGAUUUUAAUCUCCAUCGCAGUCGCUCUCUCCCUCUAAAUGAUGAACUGACUGAUAAGAAAACAUUACGUGUGAGGUUUUGUCAGGAGUAUUUUUGUUCACCACUUUUAAGUGCUGGUGAUGUCUACCACUCUAUAUCACUUGUAGGAUACACCGAUGCUAAAACGAGUCCAUUUUACAACCUUAAGGGCGAUUUUUAUCUCCAA